This 540-nucleotide ribosomal RNA is filed under the name uncultured archaeon. RNAcentral describes it as "bacterial SSU rRNA". It matches the Rfam family "Archaeal small subunit ribosomal RNA", at positions 457 to 997 of the family's 1478-position model. The record is from RNAcentral.
GGCAGCCGCCGCGGGAACACCGGCAGCUCUAGUGGUAGCAAUUUUAUUGGGCCUAAAGCGUCCGUAGCCGGUUUAAUAAGUCUCUGGUGAAAUCCUGCAGCUUAACUGUGGGAAUUGCUGGAGAUACUAUUAGACUUGAGACCGGGAGAGGUUAGAGGUACUCCCAGGGUAGAGGUGAAAUUCUGUAAUCCUGGGAGGACCGCCUGUUGCGAAGGCGUCUAACUGGAACGGUUCUGACGGUGAGGGACGAAAGUUAGGGGCGCGAACCGGAUUAGAUACCCGGGUAGUCCUAACUGUAAACGAUGCGGACUUGGUGUUGGGGUGGCUUUGAGCUGCUUCAGUGCCGAAGGGAAGCUGUUAAGUCCGCCGCCUGGGAAGUAUGGUCGCAAGACUGAAACUUAAAGGAAUUGGCGGGGGAGCACCACAACGCGUGGAGCCUGCGGUUUAAUUGGAUUCAACGCCGGACAUCUCACCAGAGGCGACAGCUGUAUGAUAGCCAGGUUGAUGACUUUGCUUGACUAGCUGAGGGGAGGUGCAUGG